RNAcentral lists this ribosomal RNA (458 nucleotides) under uncultured bacterium. RNAcentral describes it as "partial 16S ribosomal RNA". It matches the Rfam family "Bacterial small subunit ribosomal RNA", at positions 338 to 795 of the family's 1533-position model. The record is from RNAcentral.
CCUACGGGAGGCAGCAGUGAGGAAUAUUGGUCAAUGGGCGAGAGCCUGAACCAGCCAAGUCGCGUGAGGGAGUACUGCCCUAUGGGUUGUAAACCUCUUUUGUCGGGGAGCAAAAGCCGGACGUGUCCGGCUGUGAGAGUACCCGAAGAAAAAGCAUCGGCUAACUCCGUGCCAGCAGCCGCGGUAAUACGGAGGAUGCGAGCGUUAUCCGGAUUUAUUGGGUUUAAAGGGUGCGCAGGCGGGUUUUUAAGUCAGCGGUAAAAUCGUGGGGCUCAACCCCAUCCAGCCGUUGAAACUGGGGAUCUAGAGUGUGCGAGAGGUAGGCGGAAUGCGUGGUGUAGCGGUGAAAUGCAUAGAUAUCACGCAGAACCCCGAUUGCGAAGGCAGCAUACCGGUGCACAACUGACGCUCAGGCACGAAAGCGUGGGUAUCGAACAGGAUUAGAUACCCUAGUAGUC